CCAGACUCCUACGGGAGGCAGCAGUGGGGAAUAUUGCACAAUGGGGGAAACCCUGAUGCAGCGACGCCGCGUGAGUGAAGAAGUAUCUCGGUACGUAAAGCUCUAUCAGCAGGGAAGAAAAAAAGUCUUUGGCUUUGGACGGUACCUGACUAAGAAGCCCUGGCUAACUACGUGCCAGCAGCCGCGGUAAUACGUAGGGGGCAAGCGUUAUCCGGAUUUAUUGGGUUUAAAGGGUGCGCAGGCGGCACGGCAAGCCGGCGGUCAAAUCGCGGGGCUCAACCCCGCCCAGCCGUCGGAACUGCCGGGCUAGAGUGGGCGAGAAGUGCGCGGAAUGCGUGGUGUAGCGGUGAAAUGCAUAGAUAUCACGCAGAACUCCGAUUGCGAAGGCAGCGCACCGGCGCCCUACUGACGCUCAUGCACGAAAGCGUGGGUAUCGAACAGGAUUAGAUACCCCGGUACGG
This 461-nucleotide ribosomal RNA is filed under the name uncultured bacterium. RNAcentral's name for it is "bacterial SSU rRNA". It matches the Rfam family "Bacterial small subunit ribosomal RNA", at positions 331 to 794 of the family's 1533-position model. The record is from RNAcentral.